CACCCCUGACAGCGGGCAAAGAGACACCUUGUUGGUGGUGGUCUUACAUCAGUCAAGGGAAGAACAGGUGGCGGUCCUUUGCUCAUCCUAGCUUGAGGCUUGGCUUGGUGGCCAAAGCUGUCUUAUGCUUAGGACUCAUAA
Mus musculus (house mouse) is the source of this 141-nucleotide non-coding RNA. Lineage: Eukaryota; Metazoa; Chordata; Mammalia; Rodentia; Muridae. The record is from Rfam.